RNAcentral lists this ribosomal RNA (253 nucleotides) under uncultured bacterium. RNAcentral describes it as "partial 16S ribosomal RNA". It matches the Rfam family "Bacterial small subunit ribosomal RNA", at positions 524 to 776 of the family's 1533-position model. The record is from RNAcentral.
GACGGAGGAUGCAAGCGUUAUCCGGAAUGAUUGGGCGUAAAGCGUCCGCAGGUGGCAGUUCAAGUCUGCUGUCAAAGACCGGGGCUCAACCUCGGAAAGGCAGUGGAAACUGAACAGCUAGAGUAUGGUAGGGGCAAAGGGAAUUCCUGGUGUAGCGGUGGAAUGCGCAGAUAUCAGGAAGAACACCCGUGGCGAAAGCGGCUCUCUGGAACGGUACUGACGCUGAGACGCGAAAGCGUGGGGAGCGAACAGG